GUCGAGCGAGAAAGUGUAGCAAUACAUGAGUAAAGCGGCGCACGGGUGAGUAACACGUGGAUAACCUGCCUCAAAGUGGGGAAUAACACCGGGAAACCGGUGCUAAUACCGCAUAUUCUGACGAGAUCUGUGGAUUUUGUCAGGAAAGGAGCAAUUCGCUAUGAGAGGGGUCCGCGGCUGAUUAGCUAGUUGGUGAGGUAAUGGCUCACCAAGGCUUUGAUCAGUAGCCGGUCUGAGAGGACGGUCGGCCACACUGGAACUGAGACACGGUCCAGACUCCUACGGGAGGCAGCAGUGGGGAAUUUUUCGCAAUGGGGGAAACCCUGACGAAGCAAUGCCGCGUGGAUGAUGAAGUAUCUCGGUACGUAAAAUCCUUUCGACGGGGACGAAACCGCAAGGUUGACGGUACCCGUAGAAGAAGCCCCGGCUAACUCCGUGCCAGCAGCCGCGGUAAUACGGGGGGGGCGAGCGUUGUUCGGAAUUACUGGGCGUAAAGGGUGCGUAGGCGGCUUUCUAAGUCGGAUGUGAAAACUCUGGGCUCAACCCAGAGCCUGCAUCUGAAACUGGAGAGCUAGGGUUUUGGAGGGGAAAGCGGAAUUCCAGGUGUAGCGGUGAAAUGCGUAGAUAUCUGGAGGAACACCGGUGGCGAAGGCGGCUUUCUGGACAAAUACCGACGCUGAGGCACGAAAGCUAGGGGAGCAAACAGGAUUA
Molecule: ribosomal RNA, 711 nt
Filed under: uncultured Bacillota bacterium
Lineage: Bacteria; Bacillati; Bacillota
Description: bacterial SSU rRNA
Rfam family: Bacterial small subunit ribosomal RNA
Source: RNAcentral